Small nuclear RNA from Pteronotus mesoamericanus, 107 nucleotides. The record is from RefSeq and is a predicted model, not a curated record. NCBI's taxonomy places the organism in Eukaryota, Metazoa, Chordata, Mammalia, Chiroptera, Mormoopidae.
GUGCUCACCUCAGCAGCACAUAUACGAAAAUUAGAAUGAUGCAGAGAAGCUUAGCAGGACCCCUGUGCAGGGAUGACACACAAAUCUGUGAAGUGUUCCAUAUUAUU